GCCUCCGUAGUAUAGUGGUUAGUAUAGAGGGCUGUGGACCCUUUGGCCGGGGUUCGAUUCCCCGCGGAGGCC
This 72-nucleotide transfer RNA is filed under the name Nitrososphaerales archaeon. RNAcentral's name for it is "tRNA-His". It matches the Rfam family "tRNA". From Rfam's summary of the family: Transfer RNA (tRNA) molecules are approximately 80 nucleotides in length. The record is from RNAcentral. Lineage: Archaea; Thermoproteati; Nitrososphaerota; Nitrososphaeria; Nitrososphaerales.